RNAcentral lists this transfer RNA (74 nucleotides) under Elusimicrobiota bacterium. RNAcentral describes it as "Elusimicrobia bacterium (anaerobic digester metagenome) tRNA-Val". It matches the Rfam family "tRNA". From Rfam's summary of the family: Transfer RNA (tRNA) molecules are approximately 80 nucleotides in length. Their secondary structure includes four short double-helical elements and three loops (D, anti-codon, and T loops). The record is from RNAcentral. Lineage: Bacteria; Pseudomonadati; Elusimicrobiota.
GGGCGAAUAGCUCAGUUGGUCAGAGCAACCGGUUUACAUCCGGUAGGUCGAGGGUUCAAGUCCUUCUUCGCCCA